Molecule: ribosomal RNA, 452 nt
Filed under: Pseudomonas sp. 2S2.E2
Lineage: Bacteria; Pseudomonadati; Pseudomonadota; Gammaproteobacteria; Pseudomonadales; Pseudomonadaceae
Description: bacterial SSU rRNA
Rfam family: Bacterial small subunit ribosomal RNA
Source: RNAcentral
GCUGGCGGCAGGCCUAACACAUGCAAGUCGAGCGGAUGAGAGGAGCUUGCUCCUGGAUUCAGCGGCGGACGGGUGAGUAAUGCCUAGGAAUCUGCCUGGUAGUGGGGGACAACGUUUCGAAAGGAACGCUAAUACCGCAUACGUCCUACGGGAGAAAGCAGGGGACCUUCGGGCCUUGCGCUAUCAGAUGAGCCUAGGUCGGAUUAGCUAGUUGGUGAGGUAAUGGCUCACCAAGGCGACGAUCCGUAACUGGUCUGAGAGGAUGAUCAGUCACACUGGAACUGAGACACGGUCCAGACUCCUACGGGAGGCAGCAGUGGGGAAUAUUGGACAAUGGGCGAAAGCCUGAUCCAGCCAUGCCGCGUGUGUGAAGAAGUCUUCCGGAUUGUAAAGCACUUUAAGUUUGGGANGAAAGGCAGUAACUUAAUACGUUUGCUGUUUUGACGUUUACC